ACAGGAGGGGGAAAAGACGGAAUCAAACGUCGUUGGGAUAUUUUUGGCAGGAAUGCCAUUUCAUGCAGUUUGUCUUAUUUUCCAUCAGGGCAGGAUGUCUGGAGUCUGUCAUUUGGGGAGGGGGGGGGGGAUGUCAGUGGAAUUUGACCACUUCUCAUUCAAAGAGGGCUGGAAGAACCUGCACCCCAAGCAGAAGCUCGCAAAGGACGAUGGGAAAGCAUUUUGAACAAUCCCGUUGUCACAAGUUCAUACUUCAAACUACUAUCUGGAGAAGACUCACACAGAUAUGUUAACAGGACCAAGAAAGCAGAUGUUGCAUCAGGGAGAGUAUUUUGUCCCUCCUCUAUGUUUGAGUACAUUAUCUUCUCUUGCUAGAAUGCAAAUCAGCCAUUCGCAAAAAACUCAAAACCCAGAAGUGUUUUUUUCCCCCUUCUUUGUUAAUCGACUAGCUUUAAAAUCCUGACAUGGCGGUUUGAAAACCUGAUAAAUUGAUGGGGCUGUAAAGCACUGCAGGCAAACACUUGACAGAACAUGCACACCGAGGUGAAUCCUAAUCUUUUAUUGUAGAAUAGGUCACCACAAAAACCACAAAAAUGUUUUAAUAUGCGUGCAGGAUACUUUCCACCCUCUGCAGAUCAGAAAUAAACGUGGGGUCCUCUUACAACGGCCACGCAAGGGCCAAUCAUGGAAAAAAAAAAAAGCACAAAAGAUAUUCCUUAGUCAUCUGUUUUUGCUGGACAUAUUGUGUCACCGUGGGGUUUGGAACAGCAGAUUGCACUUCAACACCAGAACAAUCACAUGUAAGUGGUAACAUCUCAUCAUUAUAAGAUGUUGUAUAAAGUGUGGCAUCUGAUGAAAUUAGAUGCAUAGCUGUGUAAAACUUGCCUUUUUAUAGUAGAAAUCUAGAACUGCAUACGUUUUAAUAUCCUUCAGCAUCUACAUUUUGGAAUAUUGAAAUAUUUAUGUCACCGUUUCUUGCAACUUCACAGUUCUUCCAAAUAUUUUAGCAAAAAAUCCUGUGCAAUCCUCUAUGCCACUGUACAGUUUUAGCUGACCCAUCCAGAUCUAUCAGUGCAGUAUGAGGAAUGUUCACUUGGCUUAACGUGCCUCAUCCUGUUUCUGAGAACAGCCAGAGGCAUGUGCUGGGUGUUAAGUGUGGCAGCCCUUGACCUUCUGUGUACAGCUGAGCUUCACCUGUGCUGUUGAGCCAACUACCUGCUGAAAAUGAGCAGGAGAACACCCACAGGAUGGUUCAUCUCUCCUGAUUGGUCAACAGGAAAUGGGGAAUAACUCGUGACAGGAAGGCUCACCGUGAACAUAAACCCGCUGUCACCAUGCAUCUGUACUUCUUGGAAACUUCGGGGAGUCGGCUGCCGGGGCCGUGAAGCUGAGCCUGAGACCCCUGAAUCGCCACAGCUGGUGCUGUGAACCCACAACGCAAAUAUCCUCCCCGAAUGAACAUGUGGUGACAAGAAGCAGGGCAGCCCUGGGGUUGUCGAGGAGCGGAGCCAGUGAUCCUCAGGAACAAAAGUGCAACAGCUUUAGUGACCGACUUUGGGGGUGCGGGACUGGCGAGGAGGAGGAAGAGGAGGAGGAAGAGGCAGGGUAGGAUCACGGGUGUGGCUGCGCACCAGGCCAUUACACACGCUACACAAAAACGGAACAAAUCGUGAAGAAAAGUCACGUCAAGAGAGCUCGGCCAAAGGUGUCUGCCAGGCAAACAAAUGAGGCCUAGCUGAUGGAGAGAGUUACCCUUUAGCUGCUUGCGGGGAAAAGGAUAUCAGACAGUUUCACGGACAACAGCAGCAGCACCUUUUGUUACGUUAUAAAAGCUGGCAGGAUCUCUCCUUGUGUCAACUGGACUUCCCCCUCACUGUGGUCAUUUUCAAGAAUACAUUUUCCAGCUACUUUAUUGUGCUGGCAUCUGCUGCUGGAACGCAUCCAGAGACGUGAAAUGAAAAAUCUUUGGCUGGCUGCGUCAUAAACUUUUGUUGAACCACACUGAACAUGUCCCCCGGCAGUCGAAGGGACAGUCUGUCUUCUUCAUGGCUGACUGGCGUCAAAGCCGGCUCAGCUGUGCAGCUCUCCAAAACGCACUCUGCCCCACGCCUGGCACCUUGCCGGGGAUUUCGUCCAGACGCCUGCCUGCGUCACGUUCCCCGUGGCUGGAUUAAGGUCCCACACCACCUGCAUCUUCAGCGUGUUCUUUCCUAAGCUGUUUUCCUGGAUUUUAUUUUUUUUUGGUAGCAUUCCUGUAAUUAGUGUAAUGAACUUGUGUUGAGAAUCUCGAGUUUCGGAUAAGUAAUGAGCAAAACAAAGCAUGCCUGAGAUGGGGGGGGGGACGUGCAGGGACUCGCCCAGUCAUUUGCAUCCAAGCCGAACGAGUGAAGCAGCCAGAUGCAAUUAAUGCGGGUGUGUGACGCCCUCGUAAACGGCCCUGGGGGGUUCUGGGAGACAUCCCGUGCUUCCCAAAGCAUUGCGACUCACAAGCCUCUGCAGGUAUCGCCUGGAUGCCUGGUACCUGUUGCUCUGUUAUUGUUUGGACACCGGCAUGCACGCUGAUUACGUGUACAUUCCAAUAACUGUCAGUCACAGAAUAAGAACAGUCCCAGAGUGGAAUGCUGUUGCCAGGUGAAAAAAUCUUUGGUAACACAAUGUUCUGCCCAGAAAGAUCCGCGGAGACAGAUUCAGGCAACCAAGUUUAAUGGGGAUUACGAGAGGGGAGGUCGCGAGCCGUAUCCAAGUCGUUGCCAGGGAACAGAAGCCAGAGUCCAGAACGUGAUCCGAUGUCGUCGUUGAGUAAGGGGAAGCCGAGGGUCGAGGAGCCAGUAGAUCAAGCCGGUGACACGGGGGACGAACACGGGGAAAUCCACGAGGGGCGUCACAGGGAGGGUGGACGGGCAGGAGGGCAGGCAGGAGUCGAGGAAGGAGCGGGCAGGGCCAGGGAACACAGAACGUAACUAGGGAGACAACGAAUAAUCAAAGCGCUCAGUACGUACAUUACUACAAUACCUCGCACCAGACUAAUGUAAAUAUAUGACUAGAGCUUCAUAAACCAUUCAUAAUGCAUAAUAAACAUGGCUGUAAAGUGUUA
Molecule: non-coding RNA, 3094 nt
Organism: Paramormyrops kingsleyae
Lineage: Eukaryota; Metazoa; Chordata; Actinopteri; Osteoglossiformes; Mormyridae
Source: RefSeq, a predicted model, not a curated record